RNAcentral lists this ribosomal RNA (492 nucleotides) under uncultured bacterium. RNAcentral describes it as "partial 16S ribosomal RNA". It matches the Rfam family "Bacterial small subunit ribosomal RNA", at positions 29 to 507 of the family's 1533-position model. The record is from RNAcentral.
AGUGAACGCUGGCGGUAGGCCUAACACAUGCAAGUCGAACGGCAGCACAGUCAGAGCUUGCUCUUACGGGUGGCGAGUGGCGGACGGGUGAGGAAUACAUCGGAAUCUACUUUUUCGAGGGGGAUAACGUAGGGAAACAUACGCUAAUACCGCAUACGACCUACGGGUGAAAGCAGGGGAUCUUCGGCCCUUGCGCGAUUGAAUGAGCCGAUGUCGGAUUAGCUAGUUGGCGGGGUAAAGGCCCACCAAGGCGACGAUCCGUAGCUGGUCUGAGAGGAUGAUCAGCCACACUGGAACUGAGACACGGUCCAGACUCCUACGGGAGGCAGCAGUGGGGAAUAUUGGACAAUGGGCGCAAGCCUGAUCCAGCCAUGCCGCGUGGGUGAAGAAGGCCUUCGGGUUGUAAAGCCCUUUUGUUGGGAAAGAAAAGCAGCAGGUUAAUACCCCGCUGUUCUGACGGUACCCAAAGAAUAAGCACCGGCUAACUUCGUG